CCCCCAAGCUUUUCAUCCCUUCACCGUCGAGGCGCGUUCUGGGUGGACCGCCUUUGCCCACUUGGUGGUUCUUCUACGGAUCAAAAGGAUUUUUACCCCUACGUAGAAGUACCGUCCACCUCUNCCNGCUUUCCUAGUCCCGCGGUAUCUCUUGCAGGCCAACGGGUUAAGCCGUUGGAUUUUAACAGAAGACCUACGGAACAGGCUACGGAUGCUUUAGGCCCAAUAAUCGCCCCGACCACUCGAGGAGCUGGUAUUACCGCGGCGGGCUGACACCAGACUUGCCCUCCCCUUAUUCACUGGCCGUUUUAGAGCCAACAAAAGAUCCCCUCAGCGGGGACCACUCGGAUUAACCUCGUCACGCUUUCGCGCAUUGCGAAGGUUUCGCGCCUGCUGCGCCCCGUAGGACCUGGACCCUUCUCUCAGUGUCCAUCUCCGGGCCCCCUCUCUCAAGGCCCGUACCGGUUACAGGUUUGGUGGGCCAUUACCCCACCAACAGCCUGAUCGGCCGCAGUCCCAUCCUAGAGCAAAUGCACAAAAGAAGCUCGCGCACUCCUUUAAGCCAUCUCUCCUUCCGGAUGAGAUGACCUAUCAUGGAAUUAAUCCCAGUUUCCCGGGGUUGUUCACGUCUCUAGGGCAGGUUGACUACGUGUUACUGAGCAGUAAGGGCGAAUUCCAGCACACUGGCGGCCGUUACUAGUGGAUCCGAGCUCGGUACCAAGCUUGGC
This 728-nucleotide ribosomal RNA is filed under the name uncultured archaeon. Its description in RNAcentral is "partial 16S ribosomal RNA". The record is from RNAcentral.